UGUGUCUGCAUGUAUGUGUAAUUGUACAUGUGUGUGUAGUACAAGCAGUAUGGUACAGUAGAUGGUUCUCUCCACUUGUUUCAGGAUAUGGAGGCUUUGGUGGUGGUGGUGGAGCAGGCCUUCCUGGUGGAAAAGGUGGUCCUGGAUCCAAGCCUGGAUACCCCAUUGGAACUGGUGUUGGGACAGGAGGUCUUAACCCGGCCCAGGCUCAGGCUAAAGCUGCUAAAUAUGGUGCUGGUCCUGGUUUGGGUGGUGUGCCCGGUGCAGGUGGAGCUUACCCUGGAGCAGGAGGAGCUUACCCUGGAGGAGUCCCAGGAGGUGCGGGUGGCGUCCCAGGUCUUGGAUCAGUAGCAGGAGGAGCAGGAGGAGUACCUGGAUGGUUACCCGCAGGAGCUGGAGGAUAUAACCCUGCUGCGGCCAAAGCUGCUAAAUAUGGAGUUCCAGGGGGUGCAGGUGCAGGCCUAGGAGCUGGAGGAUUUGGUGGAGUACCAGGAGGAGGAGGAGGAGGGGGUGUACCUGGGGCUGGAGGACUCCCAGGAGGAGGUGCAGGCAGGCUCCCAGGUGCUGGCUCAGUCGCAGGAGGAGCAGGAGGAGUACCUGGGGCUGGAGGAUAUAAUCCUGCUGCGGCCAAAGCCGCUAAAUAUGGAGUUCCAGGAGGAGCAGGUGCAGGGUUAGGAGGAGCUGGAGGUACGGCUAUAGUAACCAAACACCUAUAGAUUUAACUAAUGUACAGUCAGGCCCAAAAUGUUUGGCAC
RNAcentral lists this long non-coding RNA (755 nucleotides) under Salmo trutta (river trout). RNAcentral's name for it is "lncRNA (ENSSTUG00000047144.1)". The record is from RNAcentral. Lineage: Eukaryota; Metazoa; Chordata; Actinopteri; Salmoniformes; Salmonidae.